ACUGUGACUAACUUGGUCUGCAAGUGUUCCAUAAGAUGAGCAAGUAUGUUUAAGAAAUUAGACUCAAAAUUGUUUGAUUAAUAUUUAAUACCCUGUACUACUAAUUUUAGCACUAGUUCUUAACUUUUAAAUAACCUGUGGCAAUCAUCUUUUUGGCUACCACAGGCAUUUUCUACCCUUCUUUUCCUGAAGAAAGCUCUGUUCCUGCAAAAAGCUCAUUUCUGUUGUCUUCUCUGAUAGGCUCCCUUGUCUUUUGUCGUCUGGUUAAGGUUAGUCAAGGUGAGACACCAGUUGGAGACUGGAAGACAAAGAGUGAGCACAGCAUGUAUGGUCCAAGUCAUGUGUCGGCAUUUCUCUACUGGAGACUUCAGAAACAGAAACGCCAAACAUGAUUAAAUUUCUUACUAGCCCAGCAGCUGUUUAAAUAUUGUGUUAGAAAAACAAACUGUCUUUAAAACUCUGAUGUGGAAUAUAGUUAUUUACCAAGAAUCUACUAUCAAUUGUGUAAAAACAAAAGCAUCACAACCAAAAUUAUGUGAAGGUAUAUAAAAUCUCUUUUUAAACAUUUCUCAAAAAAUCUCA
RNAcentral lists this long non-coding RNA (582 nucleotides) under Fukomys damarensis (Damara mole-rat). RNAcentral describes it as "lncRNA (ENSFDAG00000023505.1)". The record is from RNAcentral. Lineage: Eukaryota; Metazoa; Chordata; Mammalia; Rodentia; Bathyergidae.